GGGUUGUGAGGUUAAGCGACUAAGCGUACACGGUGGAUGCCCUGGCAGUCAGAGGCGAUGAAGGGCGUGCUAAUCUGCGAUAAGCGCCGGUAAGGUGAUAUGAACCGUUAUAACCGGCGAUACCCGAAUGGGGAAACCCAGUGUGAUUCGUCACACUAUCAUUAACUGAAUCCAUAGGUUAAUGAGGCGAACCGGGGGAACUGAAACAUCUAAGUACCCCGAGGAAAAGAAAUCAACCGAGAUUCCCCCAGUAGCGGCGAGCGAACGGGGAGGAGCCCAGAGCCUGAAUCAGCAUGUGUGUUAGUGGAAGCGUCUGGAAAGGCGCGCGAUACAGGGUGACAGCCCCGUACACAAAAGCGCAUGUGCUGUGAGCUCGAUGAGUAGGGCGGGACACGUGGUAUCCUGUCUGAAUAUGGGGGGACCAUCCUCCAAGGCUAAAUACUCCUGACUGACCGAUAGUGAACCAGUACCGUGAGGGAAAGGCGAAAAGAACCCCGGCGAGGGGAGUGAAAAAGAACCUGAAACCGUGUACGUACAAGCAGUGGGAGCNNGUGACUGCGUACCUUUUGUAUAAUGGGUCAGCGACUUAUAUUCUGUAGCAAGGUUAACCGAAUAGGGGAGCCGGAGGGAAACCGAGUCUUAAUUGGGCGUUAAGUUGCAGGGUAUAGACCCGAAACCCGGUGAUCUAGCCAUGGGCAGGUUGAAGGUUGGGUAACACUAACUGGAGGACCGAACCGACUAAUGUUGAAAAAUUAGCGGAUGACCUGUGGCUGGGGGUGAAAGGCCAAUCAAACCGGGAGAUAGCUGGUUCUCCCCGAAAGCUAUUUAGGUAGCGCCUCGUGAAUUCAUCUCCGGGGGUAGAGCACUGUUUCGGCUAGGGGGCCAUCCCGGCUUACCAACCCGAUGCAAACUGCGAAUACCGGAGAAUGUUAUCACGGGAGACACACGGCGGGUGCUAACGUCCGUCGUGAAGAGGGAAACAACCCAGACCGCCAGCUAAGGUCCCAAAGUCAUGGUUAAGUGGGAAACGAUGUGGGAAGGCCCAGACAGCCAGGAUGUUGGCUUAGAAGCAGCCAUCAUUUAAAGAAAGCGUAAUAGCUCACUGGUCGAGUCGGCCUGCGCGGAAGAUGUAACGGGGCUAAACCAUGCACCGAAGCUGCGGCAGCGACACUCAGGUGUUGUUGGGUAGGGGAGCGUUCUGUAAGCCUGUGAAGGUGGCCUGUGAGGGUUGCUGGAGGUAUCAGAAGUGCGAAUGCUGACAUAAGUAACGAUAAAGCGGGUGAAAAGCCCGCUCGCCGGAAGACCAAGGGUUCCUGUCCAACGUUAAUCGGGGCAGGGUGAGUCGACCCCUAAGGCGAGGCCGAAAGGCGUAGUCGAUGGGAAACGGGUUAAUAUUCCCGUACUUGGUGUUACUGCGAAGGGGGGACGGAGAAGGCUAUGUUGGCCGGGCGACGGUUGUCCCGGUUUAAGCGUGUAGGUGUGUGUUCCAGGUAAAUCCGGUUCACUUUAACACUGAGGCGUGACGACGAGGCACUACGGUGCUGAAGCAACAAAUGCCCUGCUUCCAGGAAAAGCCUCUAAGCAUCAGGUAACAUCAAAUCGUACCCCAAACCGACACAGGUGGUCAGGUAGAGAAUACCAAGGCGCUUGAGAGAACUCGGGUGAAGGAACUAGGCAAAAUGGUGCCGUAACUUCGGGAGAAGGCACGCUGACACGUAGGUGAAGUGAUUUACUCAUGGAGCUGAAGUCAGUCGAAGAUACCAGCUGGCUGCAACUGUUUAUUAAAAACACAGCACUGUGCAAACACGAAAGUGGACGUAUACGGUGUGACGCCUGCCCGGUGCCGGAAGGUUAAUUGAUGGGGUCAGCGCAAGCGAAGCUCCUGAUCGAAGCCCCGGUAAACGGCGGCCGUAACUAUAACGGUCCUAAGGUAGCGAAAUUCCUUGUCGGGUAAGUUCCGACCUGCACGAAUGGCGUAAUGAUGGCCAGGCUGUCUCCACCCGAGACUCAGUGAAAUUGAACUCGCUGUGAAGAUGCAGUGUACCCGCGGCAAGACGGAAAGACCCCGUGAACCUUUACUAUAGCUUGACACUGAACAUUGAGCCUUGAUGUGUAGGAUAGGUGGGAGGCUUUGAAGUGUGGACGCCAGUCUGCAUGGAGCCGACCUUGAAAUACCACCCUUUAAUGUUUGAUGUUCUAACGUGGACCCGUGAUCCGGGUUGCGGACAGUGUCUGGUGGGUAGUUUGACUGGGGCGGUCUCCUCCUAAAGAGUAACGGAGGAGCACGAAGGUUGGCUAAUCCUGGUCGGACAUCAGGAGGUUAGUGCAAUGGCAUAAGCCAGCUUGACUGCGAGCGUGACGGCGCGAGCAGGUGCGAAAGCAGGUCAUAGUGAUCCGGUGGUUCUGAAUGGAAGGGCCAUCGCUCAACGGAUAAAAGGUACUCCGGGGAUAACAGGCUGAUACCGCCCAAGAGUUCAUAUCGACGGCGGUGUUUGGCACCUCGAUGUCGGCUCAUCACAUCCUGGGGCUGAAGUAGGUCCCAAGGGUAUGGCUGUUCGCCAUUUAAAGUGGUACGCGAGCUGGGUUUAGAACGUCGUGAGACAGUUCGGUCCCUAUCUGCCGUGGGCGCUGGAGAACUGAGGGGGGCUGCUCCUAGUACGAGAGGACCGGAGUGGACGCAUCACUGGUGUUCGGGUUGUCAUGCCAAUGGCACUGCCCGGUAGCUAAAUGCGGAAGAGAUAAGUGCUGAAAGCAUCUAAGCACGAAACUUGCCCCGAGAUGAGUUCUCCCUGAGACUUAGAGUCUCCUGAAGGAACGUUGAAGACGACGACGUUGAUAGGCCGGGUGUGUAAGCGCAGCGAUGCGUUGAGCUAACCGGUACUAAUGAACCGUGAGGCUUAACCUUACAACGCCGAAG
This 2917-nucleotide ribosomal RNA is filed under the name Salmonella enterica subsp. enterica serovar Typhimurium. RNAcentral describes it as "bacterial LSU rRNA". It matches the Rfam family "Bacterial large subunit ribosomal RNA". The record is from RNAcentral. Lineage: Bacteria; Pseudomonadati; Pseudomonadota; Gammaproteobacteria; Enterobacterales; Enterobacteriaceae.